AACGCGAAGAACCUUACCUGGGUUUGACAUGCACUUGACAGUGUCAGAGAUGACAUCUUCUCGCAAGAGACGAGUGCACAGGUGCUGCAUGGCUGUCGUCAGCUCGUGCCGUGAGGUGUUGGGUUAAGUCCCGCAACGAGCGCAACCCUUGUCGUUAGUUGCCAGCACGUAAUGGUGGGCACUCUAGCGAGACUGCCUGGGUGAACCAGGAGGAAGGUGAGGAUGACGUCAAGUCCGCAUGGCCUUUAUAUCCAGGGCUACACACGUGCUACAAUGGUCGGUACAAUAGGCAGCAAUAUCGCGAGAUGGAGCAAAUCCUUGAAAGCCGGCCCCAGUUCAGAUUGGAGUCUGCAACUCGACUCCAUGAAGAUGGAAUUGCUAGUAAUGGCGAGUCAGCAACAUCGCCGUGAAUACGUUCCCGGGCCUUGUA
This 430-nucleotide ribosomal RNA is filed under the name uncultured Chlamydiae bacterium. RNAcentral describes it as "bacterial SSU rRNA". It matches the Rfam family "Bacterial small subunit ribosomal RNA", at positions 958 to 1385 of the family's 1533-position model. Lineage: Bacteria; Pseudomonadati; Chlamydiota; Chlamydiia. The record is from RNAcentral.